UACGUAGGCAGCGAGCGUUGUUCGGAAUUACUGGGCGUAAAGAGUGUGUAGGCGGUGCUCCCAGUCUGUUGUGAAAUCUCCCGGCUUAACUGGGAGGGUGCAGCGGAAACUAGAGUGCUAGAGGGUGGGAGAGGGAUGCGGAAUUCCAGGUGUAGCGGUGAAAUGCGUAGAUAUCUGGAGGAACACCGGUGGCGAAGGCGGCAUCCUGGACCGGCAUUGACGCUGAGGCGCGAAAGCCAGGGGAGCAAACGGG
This 253-nucleotide ribosomal RNA is filed under the name uncultured bacterium. Its description in RNAcentral is "partial 16S ribosomal RNA". It matches the Rfam family "Bacterial small subunit ribosomal RNA", at positions 524 to 776 of the family's 1533-position model. The record is from RNAcentral.